GCGAGGAUGGCGGAAAUGGUAGACGCGCAAGGCUGAGGACCUUGUGGCUAAUAAAUAAGCCAUGGGGGUUCAAUUCCCCCUCCUCGCACCA
RNAcentral lists this transfer RNA (91 nucleotides) under Deltaproteobacteria bacterium. RNAcentral's name for it is "tRNA-Leu". It matches the Rfam family "tRNA". Rfam says of the family: Transfer RNA (tRNA) molecules are approximately 80 nucleotides in length. Their secondary structure includes four short double-helical elements and three loops (D, anti-codon, and T loops). Further hydrogen bonds mediate the characteristic L-shaped molecular structure. tRNAs have two regions of fundamental functional importance: the anti-codon, which is responsible for specific mRNA codon recognition, and the 3' end, to which the tRNAs corresponding amino acid is attached (by aminoacyl-tRNA synthetases). tRNAs cope with the degeneracy of the genetic code in two manners: having more than one tRNA (with a specific anti-codon) for a particular amino acid; and 'wobble' base-pairing, i.e. permitting non-standard base-pairing at the 3rd anti-codon position. The record is from RNAcentral. Lineage: Bacteria; Pseudomonadati; Myxococcota; Myxococcia.